Long non-coding RNA from Mirounga angustirostris (Northern elephant seal), 634 nucleotides. RefSeq lists it as uncharacterized. The transcript has 4 exons. Lineage: Eukaryota; Metazoa; Chordata; Mammalia; Carnivora; Phocidae. The record is from RefSeq and is a predicted model, not a curated record.
AGAGCAAUCUUCAACUUACUCAGAUGUCUCUUGGUUCAUAUCUGUCAUCCCAUUAUUUGGAAGUACGGAAAACUGGAGUCUUCAUUCUAGAACUGCUGAAACUCUAGCAGCAAUAUCCAUCGUCACAUCAACACAUAAGGGAGAACACCACAUAGAAAUUGCCUAUUUGCAAUGAUAAUAUUGGGUGGUUAUAAAAGCAGCAAUGGAAGCAGAGAAUGGAUUCUGAUUACUGGAAGAUCAUAUCUUCAAGUUUUACCCAUUGGACCAAAUGAAGACACUGACUCCUUGGACUCAAGAGAGACAGCAAGAGAGGAAACACAAGCAGGGGAGUGGGAGAGGGAGAAGCAGGCUUCCCAUGGAGCAGGGAGCCCGAUGUGGGGCUCGAUCCCAGGACCCUGGGAUCAUGACCUGAGCCGAAAGCAGACGCUUAACAACUGAGCCACCCAGACGCCCCACAACGUGAGUUUUAAUAUAUGAUGAAGAUGAAGCAGCCACCUUGUAAACCCACAGGAAAGGACUCACUAUGGAUGACAGAGCAGAAAGAAGCAGCGUUGGUCUUAGUUGAUUGCACAGAGCUACGAAGCUAAUUGUCAGCUGCUUACCCUCUGGGGUUCUUUUAUGUGAAAGAAUAAAU